Rosa chinensis is the source of this 177-nucleotide long non-coding RNA. RefSeq lists it as uncharacterized. The transcript is spliced from 3 exons. Lineage: Eukaryota; Viridiplantae; Streptophyta; Magnoliopsida; Rosales; Rosaceae. The record is from RefSeq and is a predicted model, not a curated record.
GAAGUUACACUACCACAUGGAAGAAUAUUUGGAGAUGGAUCUCGUUCCAGCCGCAAGAUAGAAGUACUGAAGCAGCUUCAAGAGAAACCAGAACAUCAAGGGCUGAAGCUGCACUUUGUGGAGGAUAGACUAGAAACCCUGAAGGAAGUUAUUGAAGUACCCAAAUUGGAUGGUUGG